UACGAAGGGGGCUAGCGUUGUUCGGAAUUACUGGGCGUAAAGCGCACGUAGGCGGAUACUUAAGUUAGGGGUGAAAUCCCAGAGCUCAACUCUGGAACUGCCUCUAAUACUGGGUAUCUCGAGUUCGAGAGAGGUGAGUGGAAUUCCGAGUGUAGAGGUGAAAUUCGUAGAUAUUCGCAAGAACACCAGUGGCGAAGGCGGCUCACUGGCCCGAUACUGACGCUGAGGCACGAAAGCGUGGGGAGCAAACAGG
This 253-nucleotide ribosomal RNA is filed under the name uncultured bacterium. RNAcentral describes it as "partial 16S ribosomal RNA". It matches the Rfam family "Bacterial small subunit ribosomal RNA", at positions 524 to 776 of the family's 1533-position model. The record is from RNAcentral.